GACGAACGCUGGCGGCGUGCUUAACACAUGCAAGUCGAACGAAGAGCGACGGAAGCUUGCUUCUAUCAAUCUUAGUGGCGAACGGGUGAGUAACGCGUAAUCAACCUGCCCUUCAGAGGGGGACAACAGUUGGAAACGACUGCUAAUACCGCAUACGAUCUAAUCUCGGCAUCGAGGAUGGAUGAAAGGUGGCCUCUACAUGUAAGCUAUCACUGAAGGAGGGGAUUGCGUCUGAUUAGCUAGUUGGAGGGGUAACGGCCCACCAAGGCGAUGAUCAGUAGCCGGUCUGAGAGGAUGAACGGCCACAUUGGGACUGAGACACGGCCCAGACUCCUACGGGAGGCAGCAGUGGGGAAUCUUCCGCAAUGGACGAAAGUCUGACGGAGCAACGCCGCGUGAGUGAUGACGGCCUUCGGGUUGUAAAGCUCUGUUAAUCGGGACGAAAGGCCUUCUUGCGAAUAGUGAGAAGGAUUGACGGUACCGAAAUAGAAAGCCACGGCUAACUACGUG
RNAcentral lists this ribosomal RNA (510 nucleotides) under uncultured bacterium. RNAcentral describes it as "partial 16S ribosomal RNA". It matches the Rfam family "Bacterial small subunit ribosomal RNA", at positions 28 to 507 of the family's 1533-position model. The record is from RNAcentral.